RNAcentral lists this ribosomal RNA (404 nucleotides) under uncultured bacterium. RNAcentral describes it as "bacterial SSU rRNA". It matches the Rfam family "Bacterial small subunit ribosomal RNA", at positions 355 to 776 of the family's 1533-position model. The record is from RNAcentral.
UGGGGAAUAUUGCACAAUGGGGGAAACCCUGAUGCAGCGACGCCGCGUGGAGGAUGAAGGCCUUCGGGUUGUAAACUCCUUUUGUAGGGGAAGAUAAUGACGGUACCCUGCGAAUAAGCCACGGCUAACUCUGUGCCAGCAGCCGCGGUAAGACAGAGGUGGCGAGCGUUGUUCGGAAUUACUGGGCUUAAAGGGCGAGUAGGCGGUGGAGCAAGUCUGAGGUGGAAUCCUACGGCUUAACCGUAGAACUGCCUUAGAAACUGUUUUACUUGAGUCAAUGAGGGGAGGGCGGAAUUCCUGGUGUAGCGGUGAAAUGCGUAGAUAUCAGGAGGAAGGCCUGUGGCGAAAGUGGCCCUCUGGCAUUGUACUGACGCUGAGGCGCGAAAGCGUGGGGAGCAAACAGG